This 547-nucleotide ribosomal RNA is filed under the name uncultured Glomus. RNAcentral's name for it is "SSU rRNA". It matches the Rfam family "Eukaryotic small subunit ribosomal RNA", at positions 548 to 1099 of the family's 1831-position model. Lineage: Eukaryota; Fungi; Glomeromycota; Glomeromycetes; Glomerales; Glomeraceae. The record is from RNAcentral.
UUGGGCAAGUCUGGUGCCAGCAGCCGCGGUAAUUCCAGCUCCAAUAGCGUAUAUUAAAGUUGUUGCAGUUAAAAAGCUCGUAGUUGAAUUUCGGGGUUAGUAGGCUGGUCAUGCCUCUGGUAUGUACUGGUCUCACUGAUUCCUCCUUCCUGAUGAGCCGUAAUGCCAUUAAUUUGGUGUUGCGGGGAAUUUGGACUGUUACUUUGAAAAAAUUAGAGUGUUUAAAGCAAGCUAACGCUUGAAUACAUUAGCAUGGAAUAAUGAAAUAGGACGUUCGAUCCUAUUUUGUUGGUUUCUAGGAUUGACGUAAUGAUUAAUAGGGAUAGUUGGGGGCAUUAGUAUUCAAUUGUCAGAGGUGAAAUUCUUGGAUUUAUUGAAGACUAACUACUGCGAAAGCAUUUGCCAAGGAUGUUUUCAUUAAUCAAGAACGAAAGUUAGGGGAUCGAAGACGAUCAGAUACCGUCGUAGUCUUAACCAUAAACUAUGCCGACUAGGGAUCGGAUGAUGUUAAUUUUUUAAUGACUCAUUCGGCGCCUUACGGGAAACA